This is a long non-coding RNA of Macaca mulatta (Rhesus monkey), 288 nucleotides long. RefSeq lists it as uncharacterized. The record is from RefSeq and is a predicted model, not a curated record. Lineage: Eukaryota; Metazoa; Chordata; Mammalia; Primates; Cercopithecidae.
UUCAGGGUCCCUUUCCUGCGUUGCAAGUAGGGCAGCACAGUCUGUGCUCCGUCCAUCCUGGGCAGCUUUCUUGGGCCUUGAGGGAACAGCUCACAGUGAAUCAGGAUUCUGUUGUCCUUUGCUGCCUAUUGAUUUACAGGAGCAUUGUGACCUGACCAAGGACAAAGAAGAUCCCAACUUCGUCGGACCCUAGCUGGCAUCCAGAUGCCUGCAAUUGUCAUCACCUCUUGAUCUAAACCACCUUUUCCUCCUCAUAUUCACCUACCAUAAAAACCUUCUUGCCAGCCA